RNAcentral lists this long non-coding RNA (429 nucleotides) under Cyanistes caeruleus (blue tit). RNAcentral describes it as "lncRNA (ENSCCEG00000018967.1)". The record is from RNAcentral. Lineage: Eukaryota; Metazoa; Chordata; Aves; Passeriformes; Paridae.
UCAUUUUUAGUGGCAGCUUGGAAUUACCCUCCAGACUCGGUGUCACCUGAGCCAGCAGCAGUGCCUGUGACUGAGGGAAACAAUCGUGUAAAGCAGAUGACAGGUCGUGUUUGCUCCUCCAGCUGCAGUGAGUAGUGCUUUCCUAGAGAGGAGGUAGCUGAGCCCACGAGGGAGCUCCUUGAGGGGGGUGACGGUGUCACAACGUUGUGUGACGAGGAAUAAAUGCAGGAGUAAAUGCAAAGGAAGGACAAAGCACAACACAUUUGAAGGCUGCACAUCUGCACCCCCACUCUGGAACCUUAGAGUUUGGAUUUGGAUUGGCUAAGAGAAGAUUUGGGCUUUAGAUUUUGGAUAAAGUUUGGAUUUGACCUUAGACCUCUUCUUGCCAAUGCAAAAUGUAGGGCAAUUGCAUUUUCUUUUUGAGGGGUU